This is a long non-coding RNA of Parus major (Great Tit), 4665 nucleotides long. RefSeq lists it as uncharacterized. The record is from RefSeq and is a predicted model, not a curated record. NCBI's taxonomy places the organism in Eukaryota, Metazoa, Chordata, Aves, Passeriformes, Paridae. The transcript is spliced from 5 exons.
GUUUCCCUCAUCCCAAGAGUGGUGGUGGCCGUGGUUCUGUGCACCCAUUGUGGACAUGAAGGUGAGCCCAGCUCAGACUGAGGCCAAAAACCCACUUGGGCAAGAUUCAAACAAACAUCCAGGCCAGCAGCUUCAAGGGCUCUCACUCAGAAGCAAUCAGUCAGAAAUCUCUUGGUGGCACCGACAUCAAAGGUACAGUGUUUUUCAUUGCAUGGCCACACCGACGUCACCACUGCAAAGCCUGAUGUAGGAUGGAAUGAGCAGAUCCUGCCAGGUUUCACUGCUGGAUUUGGCAUCAUGCAGAAGUUUUGUGAUGAGCUCUACCAGAGGUGAGGUGAUGUUGGACAGCUGUGCCAGCCCCUCUGUCAGAUGUGGCAUUCAACAGCCUGACCUCAGCGACAACACUGAGACUUUCUGGGAGUCCAUUGCUAAACUGUCAUGCUACGUAAAUAGCUUUGUGCUUUCUUUUUCUUUCUUUUCUUUUUCUUUUUUUUUUUUUUUUUUUCCUUCUUCUUGCUCUUUUAUCUGACAGACAGCCUGGUCCAUAGAACAGUAUGCUGGGAAGAUGGGCUGAUAUGAGUGCUCUUCCAUGCAAAGACAUCCAAUAUUUUCUCUUGGGCUGUCUUUCCUAUUCCAGUGCUGAUCUACUACCAUAUGCCCCUGCAGGUGCUGCUGUGGUCCUUGUCUUGCCCUGAGAAUUUACUGAAUCUUGGAUGGGCUGAGGGAGGUACAAGGGCAUCAGGACCACCCAGUGCAUGGCUGGCACAUGUCCUUACAGCACUCAAGCAUGCGAGCAACAAAACAUUAUGCAGGAGAAAAUGAACCUUUUGCAGACAAUUAAAAAAAUCAACACGUGACAUGUCAGCCAGCCAGGAUGGCUUGAGCAGCUUCCACCUGCCUAGCCCUGCCAUUGAGAUAUGGCCCUUCUUGCACUGCAAGAAAUGUAAUUGAGGGGCAAGAGGGAAGUGGCGGUGAAAAUUCUUACGUUUAACAUCUGUUAAUGAAAGAUCAUUUAACCAGCUGCAAAAAGCCAGGGUGGCUUCAGCUUCCCAAACUCGUGGUGCAACAGUACUUCUCAGAAUUGUGCUUCCUGUAGGACGGCACUGCAGGGAUGAAAGGGCAUUUUAGUUUCAAGCAGAUUAUUGCUUCAUAGCACAGGGGGUACAAGGACUUUAGAGCUUGAGUCUGAGCUUGACAGCCCCCCCAUACACGUUAGAUGUCCCAGUCCAGCCUCCAGCCCUCAUUCCCUACCACAGCAGCAUAAGAACAAACCAGCCAGAGUUGUUGCUUAAAGGGAGAGCUGGCUGAUACCAUUUUGAUGGUGAAGUACAUGCAUCUGGAUGGAUGAUGUGUACAGCAGGACCCUCUGUUUCCUGAGAAAGAGAUGAAAGAUCACUUAUGGGGCAUGAAAGUAGGGAACUGAGAGAACACUAUAUUCCACAGCUCUACCUCAGGCAAAGAACAGGCGAGUCCUUAAGGAAGUUGCUUUGCCUCCUUGUUGGUUUUCUUUUCCUAUUUCUCAUGGGAGACAGAGUCCCAAGGUUAUCAUCUCCCUGCAAGCAGCAGCCACAUCACCUCCAUCAUACUCUGAAAACAGAUGAAGAUUCCAGGUCCAUUGCCUGGUUUCCCUCACAGAAGAUGCCUCAUAGAAGCCUCAUCAGCUUCUUCAUCUCACUUCAUAGGAAAAUCAUGAUGGAACACAGCUGCUUCUUUAUCUCAACUGACUUCUCGUUCUCCCUUCUCCCUCCCUGGAGCUGCCCAGGUUGUCUGUUGACACCUCCACCACAGUGUCGGUGCCAGUGUGCAGCAGAAGGGGAUUUCGUCUCUGAACCAUGCUGGAUUAGGAGGUGGGAGUCAGUACUUUCCUUCCAGCAGAUACCAUCCAACCUUGACCUCCACCAUCCACAUCUGCAGGCCAGUGCCCUGAAGCAGUGCUCCUCUUUGACUCUGAAACUUCUACCCAGAUGAUCAUUUUAGCUGGUAAAGAAUUUUUCUAACAUAUGAAGAAACAAAGACCUAGCAAACCAAAAUAUAACUAGUGCCCAGCUGCCUCUUUAUCUGGCUGUGCUUUGUUUGCACAAGCUGAAGAACUUUGUGGUGCCAGGAGGGAUGUGAUAGAAGUUCUUUGUCUCAUAAAUUAUUUUGGCCCCAUCUUCCCCCAGGAGAUAGGACUUGAGAGCAAGAGCUGGCAGCAUGGGUUCUGCUUCCAGCUUUGGCACUGACCUGCUGCAUGACCUUGGACAACUCACUUCACCUCCCCUAAGCUUCUGUUUCCCCUCCUUUCCUUUGUCUGCCUUGUUUAUUUGGACUGUCAACUCCUAGAGAAAGGAAUUCAGCCUCCGUGGCAGCUUGAAGAUUGCAUAGCAUGACAGGAGCCCAAUUGGACUCGCUUCUGGGAGGUACUACAGUAAAAAAGUUCAUGACGAUGACUACAAACUAGCAUUUGCUAAACAAUUGUAUGGGAGUUUUUGCUUAUUAAGUGGCAUAUGUGAACUAGCAGAACAUCUCUGACAGUUCAGAGAGCUUGUCCAGGGACAACAACUGUAUUUGUUCCUUUUCCAUGGCCACACUGAAGACCAUAUCUACCAGCCCCAUAAAUAUUGACAUCUUCUCCCUGUCCCAGCUGCACAGUGGGAGGAGUGGGAAGCAUCUGCUAUGGAAAAGGGAAAGUUUGUUGGAGGUAAUGAGGAAGGCUUCCCUUGGAGUCCUCCCCCUCACAAACAUCUGGACAGAUAACAGCUCUUGUGAGAAAGGUUGUAAGAGCUGUGGAGGCCUCCUGGAAAGGGCAGGGAAACACUCUGCUUUGGAGCUGGUUAGCACCAAGGGCAGAAAGGUGGAGAGAGGCUGUGGGGGCUAACGCAGGCCCUGUCACACAGAAGUCAGGGGUGGAACAGGCAAAACCAAGGCCACUAAAAUCUUAGGGGGCAGAUCAUCUUGAGAUGAAACCACAAGAGCCUUGAUUCCAGAAUACACCUCUUUCAGGCAAGCGCUGCAGUUUUGAAAUCCAUUUUACCCUCUGGAUGAUAGAAAAAGGCGUGAUGAAGGACUUGCCAUUGCACUUGUGGCUCUUGAGGAGACUUCAUGCUCACCCACUGGCCUCUACUCUGCUCAGAGUCCCCCUGGCAGUGUCACUGCUGUCCCUCAACCUUCUCUUCCCACUAAAUGACUCAUCACUGGUACACAAGGACAUCACGAUAAGGCAAGAAUCACAUCGUUUGCACUACACGCCACUCCACAGAUAUAGCUAAGAGCAAAUUGUUUCUCUAACAUGCCAAGGAUGCUUUCAAAAAACCUCUUACCCCACUACCCCUUCGGCAGCAGCCCUGCAGCUUGACAAACUCCACUGGAACGCUUGUCUGCUUUUAAAAUGUCUUGAAUAUAUUGCAUGUAUUGGCCUGUCAUUGGUUUUCUCAAGCCCCCGCGAUACAGAGGGGUCUGCUGGGAGCAGUGUGGAAAUCCUUAAGUGAUGCUUUCCAGUUGACAGGACUGGAGGGCAGGCACUACCUGCUGUUAGGGGAGAAAGUCAACCCAGUUAUUAAUCCAUCAGCCAGAGGCUAAUGCAGAAUUGUUCCCCCACAGUGCUGCUUUCCAGUGCUUUGUCCAUUUAUGCCUGUGCUGGUGAAGGCCCUUCCCCUGCCUGCCUUCCCCCUUAGGAGCAUCCUUCUGAGAUGCAUUCUUCCUACCCUGGCAAUGCCUGGGAGUGCACAAAGCCUUUUUCUGUCUCCAGAUGUAACAGGUGGCAUAAAGAAGGCACAAAUGUAGCAAGGAUGAUCUAAAACAAUAAACUCCACCUGGCCUUAAUUUCCUACACCCCACUGCAACAGGAGUUUUGGAAACUCAAGGGAGGAGGACACAUGGAAGACUGAUGCUCAGGUGCGGAGCGAGCAGGAGUCAGGAUCUCCCUGUGCAUUGCCACUGAUGGUGUUUACAGAUCUGUGUUCUGCAGUUGAAUCCAGCUUGAGAGGCCAUCACCACAUGAAACAGGUCUUUUGGAAGUGCAAUUAUAUUAAGCAUGCUGGGCUGGCCACUAAGAUGAGUAAAACAGCUUGGGAGAAGAAAAGCCAGUCACCUGCUGAACCCUGGGGACCACCACACACCCUUCAGGUACCAUCAGUUACAUCCCUUCUGGUGUGAUGCAGCACUGGCCCUCACACCAGGGAGCUGUGGCCAUGUGGAAGCCACGACUGCUCAGAUGAAGGCCUCUGAUAAUUAUCCACCCUCCCACUUCCCUGCUGCAUGGACCAGAUAGCUGCAAGCCAAGGCCAUUACUCAGCGUAUCAUCAGGUUUUCCCCUCUGAAAAACCCACCGAAGACCAAGAACCCCAGUUCACACAAUGCUUUUGGCAUCAGUGGACUCCUCCUUACCACACAUCGAGCAACUCUGCAGCAGCAUGGCAGCUCUGCAUCCUGGCACAAUCAAGUGUGAAGGUGUAGGGACAUCAAGAAAAGCAAGCUGCAUGUUCCUCCCCCUUGGCUCGCCUCUCCUAGCACUGCGAGACACAGAAGUUGAAAGUUAAGCUUUUGAGUUACCAGCAAUUUCCACUUUGGUGCAUUAUUGCCUUUGCUGCAGUGCUUUUAUAAGGCUGUUUAUAAGACAAUAGACAAUGGGAGAAGUUGCUGGGGUUCCCAGUAGACAUAUGUUGACAAUAAACCCCUGUAACAGAG